RNAcentral lists this long non-coding RNA (773 nucleotides) under Equus asinus (donkey). Its description in RNAcentral is "lncRNA (ENSEASG00005036758.1)". The record is from RNAcentral. Lineage: Eukaryota; Metazoa; Chordata; Mammalia; Perissodactyla; Equidae.
GAAGAAGAAGACAGAGAUGUGAUGAUGGAAGCGGAGGUUGGAGUGAUGUGCAUUAAAGAUGGAGGAGGGGCUGCAAGCCAAGCCGUGCAGGCGGCCUCUAGAAGCUGGGAAAGGCAAGGAGACAGCUUCUUGCUUGGAGCCCCCGGGAGAAGCGCAGCCCUGCCGACACCUUGAUUUUAGACUUCUGGCCUCCGGAACCGCCGUGCCCGUCCCCUGCCCAUCAUGCCCUUCCAGCUGGCCUUUCAUCCCGCAGCGAACCUCUGUGUGUCCGGCUCAGAGUCUCCAUAAACCGCACCAUGGAGCUGGCCCGAAGAUGCAGAAAUGGAGGUUCAGAGCAAAAAGUGAUUUCCCGCAAGGUCAAACCAUCAUUGAAAAAUCUCUUGAGAUGGCCUGACAGACGUGUGACCUGGCAUGGCUGGAUUCCACCCCGGUGGCGAAGUGUUAUUUCCUUUAAUGCACACAUAUACACACACAGCUGUCUGGAAGAAUUCCUGGGCCCAGCACGGAGCAAAAUUUCAAAAACACACAGAAGUCGAGAGGACCAGACACAGAUUCCAGCAUCCCCAGCCCUCGGCUUCAUCCCCGGCAACGUCUGGCAAUCUCGUUUUAUCACCUCCUGUGGGCUCCCUCUCUGGCUUUUUCCCCAUUUGGCUGGAGGAUUUGAAAGCAAAUUGCAGACAUCACGCCACGCACGCAUGUUGUUUUUUCAAAAACUUAAUUUUGAAAUAAUUAUAGAGUCGCAGGGAAUUGCGAAGACAGGACAGCGUGGUCCU